GCAAGUCGAGCGGUAAGCUAACUUCGGUUAGCCUAGAGCGGCGGACGGGUGAGUAACGCGUGGGAAUAUGCCCUUCUCUAAGGAAUAGCCUCUGGAAACGGAGAGUAAUACCUUAUACGCCCUUUGGGGGAAAGAUUUAUCGGUGAAGGAUUAGCCCGCGUAAGAUUAGAUAGUUGGUGGGGUAAUGGCCUACCAAGUCUACGAUCUUUAGCUGGUUUUAGAGGAUGAUC
This 230-nucleotide ribosomal RNA is filed under the name uncultured bacterium. Its description in RNAcentral is "partial 16S ribosomal RNA". It matches the Rfam family "Bacterial small subunit ribosomal RNA", at positions 57 to 305 of the family's 1533-position model. The record is from RNAcentral.